GAUGAACGCUGGCGGCGUGCCUAAUACAUGCAAGUCGAACGAAACUUCUUUAUCACCGAGUGCUUGCACUCACCGAUAAAGAGUUGAGUGGCGAACGGGUGAGUAACACGUGGGCAACCUGCCCAAAAGAGGGGUAUAACACUUGGAAACAGGUGCUAAUACCGCAUAACCAUAGUUACCGCAUGGUAACUAUGUAAAAGGUGGCUAUACUACCGCUUUUGGAUGGGCCCGCGGCGCAUUAGCUAGUUGGUAGGGUAAAGGCUUACCAAGGCAAUGAUGCGUAGCCGAAUUGAGAGGUUGAUCGGCCACAUUGGGACUGAGACACGGCCCAAACUCCUACGGGAGGCAGCAGUAGGGAAUCUUCCACAAUGGGCGAAAGCCUGAUGGAGCAACGCCGCGUGGGUGAAGAAGGUCUUCGGAUCGUAAAACCCUGUUGUUAGAGAAGAAAGUGCGUGAGAGUAACUGUUCACGUUUCGACGGUAUCUAACCAGAAAGCCACGGCUAACUACGUG
RNAcentral lists this ribosomal RNA (512 nucleotides) under uncultured bacterium. RNAcentral describes it as "partial 16S ribosomal RNA". It matches the Rfam family "Bacterial small subunit ribosomal RNA", at positions 28 to 507 of the family's 1533-position model. The record is from RNAcentral.